Molecule: ribosomal RNA, 355 nt
Filed under: Bacillus sp. PSu4_23
Lineage: Bacteria; Bacillati; Bacillota; Bacilli; Caryophanales; Bacillaceae
Description: bacterial SSU rRNA
Rfam family: Bacterial small subunit ribosomal RNA
Source: RNAcentral
CUAAUACCGGAUAACAUUUUGAACUGCAUGGUUCGAAAUUGAAAGGCGGCUUCGGCUGUCACUUAUGGAUGGACCCGCGUCGCAUUAGCUAGUUGGUGAGGUAACGGCUCACCAAGGCAACGAUGCGUAGCCGACCUGAGAGGGUGAUCGGCCACACUGGGACUGAGACACGGCCCAGACUCCUACGGGAGGCAGCAGUAGGGAAUCUUCCGCAAUGGACGAAAGUCUGACGGAGCAACGCCGCGUGAGUGAUGAAGGCUUUCGGGUCGUAGAACUCUGUUGUUAGGGAAGAACAAGUGCUAGUUGAAUAAGCUGGCACCUUGACGGUACCUAACCAGAUAGCCACGGCUAACUA